RNAcentral lists this transfer RNA (71 nucleotides) under Flavobacterium sp. RNAcentral's name for it is "tRNA-Trp". It matches the Rfam family "tRNA". From Rfam's summary of the family: Transfer RNA (tRNA) molecules are approximately 80 nucleotides in length. Their secondary structure includes four short double-helical elements and three loops (D, anti-codon, and T loops). Further hydrogen bonds mediate the characteristic L-shaped molecular structure. tRNAs have two regions of fundamental functional importance: the anti-codon, which is responsible for specific mRNA codon recognition, and the 3' end, to which the tRNAs corresponding amino acid is attached (by aminoacyl-tRNA synthetases). tRNAs cope with the degeneracy of the genetic code in two manners: having more than one tRNA (with a specific anti-codon) for a particular amino acid; and 'wobble' base-pairing, i.e. permitting non-standard base-pairing at the 3rd anti-codon position. Lineage: Bacteria; Pseudomonadati; Bacteroidota; Flavobacteriia; Flavobacteriales; Flavobacteriaceae. The record is from RNAcentral. RNAcentral also lists the same sequence under 3 other names.
ACGAGCGUAGUUCAAGGGCAGAAUAGUGGUCUCCAAAACCAUUGAUGGGGGUUCGAAUCCCUCCGCUCGUG